Molecule: ribosomal RNA, 497 nt
Filed under: uncultured bacterium
Lineage: Bacteria
Description: partial 16S ribosomal RNA
Rfam family: Bacterial small subunit ribosomal RNA
Source: RNAcentral
GAUGAACGCUGGCGGCGCGCCUAAUACAUGCAAGUCGAGCGAACGGACGAGAAGCUUGCUUUUCUGAUGUUAGCGGCGGACGGGUGAGUAACACGUGGAUAACCUACCUAUAAGACUGGGAUAACUUCGGGAAACCGGAGCUAAUACCGGAUAAUAUUUUGAACCGCAUGGUUCAAAAGUGAAAGACGGUCUUGCUGUCACUUAUAGAUGGAUCCGCGCUGCAUUAGCUAGUUGGUAAGGUAACGGCUUACCAAGGCAACGAUGCAUAGCCGACCUGAGAGGGUGAUCGGCCACACUGGAACUGAGACACGGUCCAGACUCCUACGGGAGGCAGCAGUAGGGAAUCUUCCGCAAUGGGCGAAAGCCUGACGGAGCAACGCCGCGUGAGUGAUGAAGGUCUUCGGAUCGUAAAACUCUGUUAUUAGGGAAGAACAUAUGUGUAAGUAACUGUGCACAUCUUGACGGUACCUAAUCAGAAAGCCACGGCUAACUACGUG